UGCCGCCUCGCAGGAGAGAGAGGGCCUCCCUCCGCCGAAGGCGCAAACUCCCAUAAUCGCUCAGGCACCAUUACUGCGACGUCAAU
Molecule: non-coding RNA, 86 nt
Filed under: Isoalcanivorax pacificus
Lineage: Bacteria; Pseudomonadati; Pseudomonadota; Gammaproteobacteria; Oceanospirillales; Alcanivoracaceae
Description: Alcanivorax pacificus Glycine sequence
Rfam family: Glycine riboswitch aptamer
About the family: This family represents the bacterial glycine riboswitch. Glycine riboswitches usually consist of two metabolite-binding aptamers domains with similar structures in tandem.
Source: RNAcentral